Molecule: unclassified non-coding RNA, 83 nt
Filed under: Pseudomonas jessenii
Lineage: Bacteria; Pseudomonadati; Pseudomonadota; Gammaproteobacteria; Pseudomonadales; Pseudomonadaceae
Source: RNAcentral
UGUAGGAGCCAGCUUGCUGGCGAAGGUGUGUCAGUUGACGCUGUGGUGCCUGAUACACCAUCGCCAGCAGGCUGGCUCCUACA